CUCCCGGGUCCUGCAGGAGCAGUUCACUUCCUUCAGAGGGUCUGUGGUUCUCUUAGGAUUACUGGCGUUGGCCUUCCAAAGUCAAGGUGUCAUGAGAGCCACCCUUCCCAAAGUAGCACUUGUGAGCAGAGGUGAUCAGAGGGCUUUCUGAAGAGUGAGGAGUGACUUCAGAGGGCCAAAAAGAAGAAAAGGGAGUGAGACAGUCGUUAAGACUCCUAAUCCCGGCUUAUUUUUACUGCUUCUCAACACAGCAUUGCAAGUGGCUGAUUUGAUGGAUGUGGCACGUGACCAAGUUCUGGCUAAUGAGAUGUCUGAAACUUAAAGUGGAAGAGAUGUAUCAUCUCCUUUUCCUUGCUCCAUCCUGCUACCUGAAAAAUGGAUGUGGUGACAAGCCCUGGAAAACCACAAGGAUGAGAACAGCACUGGAGAGAUGGUGCAGCGCAUGAUGCAAUUGCCUAGGUAUCUGAUGGCUGAGUAGAAUUUCUCUCCUCCGACUUUUACAUGGGAAGGAAAUAAAACUCUAUUUUGUUUGAAACUCUGUUAUUUUAGGUCAAUGUUUUAAGUAGCUGUAGCCAUGUACUAAUUCUUUCCACGAACAGCCAGGUUUCGCAUGAUAGCCUUCAGACAUCUGAGAGUCACGGCAUACACAGUUCUGAUAACCUCAUGUUGUUAUUGCUCUCAGGAACUGACUUGCACUUUGGCUAAACCAUCUGGACCUUCAAGCUGAAAACUGAAGUCAUUGCUUCAAUGUUACCCAAUGGAUUCUAUUACUGGGGUACACAAAGAAAAAGGAGAUGUAAAUGGGCCUGAGGGAGAGUCUGAGUGCUGGACCUGAGUCAGUUCAGAGACAUGAUCACAGAAUCACAUGAGACAUUUUGCCAAGUUUUACCAGGGACAAAAGCCAAGGUCUCUUGAAUCUCAGCCUAGUGCAGGCAUCUUUCUCCUGAUGUUUCAUCCUUCUUAAAGAACUAUCAGAAACCAAAUCUUUAGUAUAGGUACCUAAGAUAUUUUUCUAGCUUUUCCCUUUUGUUAUUUUCUAUUUAGCUGUGUUUCUCCUUGUCCGUUCUUUAUUUACUAAACUUUCUAUUGAAUAUCUUUUCUACUUAAAACUAGUCCCAUGAUUCAAAAGCGGCCCUUGUCUGGCCUACAUGGUGAAACCCCGUCUCUACUAAAAAUACAAAAAUUAGCUGGGAGUGGUGAUAGGCACCUGCAAUCCCAGCUACUUAGGAGGCCGAGGCAGGAGAAUUGCUUGAACCCAGGAGGCAGAGGUCGCAGUGAGCCAAGAUCAUGCCACCGCACUCCAGCCUGGGUG
This 1312-nucleotide long non-coding RNA is filed under the name Homo sapiens (human). Its description in RNAcentral is "HSALNT0200171". The record is from RNAcentral. Lineage: Eukaryota; Metazoa; Chordata; Mammalia; Primates; Hominidae.